AGUGAACGCUGGCGGUAGGCCUAACACAUGCAAGUCGAACGGCAGCACAGUAAGAGCUUGCUCUUACAGGUGGCGAGUGGCGGACGGGUGAGGAAUACAUCGGAAUCUACUUUUUCGUGGGGGAUAACGUAGGGAAACUUACGCUAAUACCGCAUACGACCUACGGGUGAAAGCAGGGGAUCUUCGGACCUUGCGCGAUUGAAUGAGCCGAUGUCGGAUUAGCUAGUUGGCGGGGUAAAGGCCCACCAAGGCGACGAUCCGUAGCUGGUCUGAGAGGACGAUCAGCCACACUGGAACUGAGACACGGUCCAGACUCCUACGGGAGGCAGCAGUGGGGAAUAUUGGACAAUGGGCGCAAGCCUGAUCCAGCCAUACCGCGUGGGUGAAGAAGGCCUUCGGGUUGUAAAGCCCUUUUGUUGGGAAAGAAAAGCAGCAGGUUAAUACCCCGCUGUUCUGACGGUACCCAAAGAAUAAGCACCGGCUAACUUCGUG
Molecule: ribosomal RNA, 492 nt
Filed under: uncultured bacterium
Lineage: Bacteria
Description: partial 16S ribosomal RNA
Rfam family: Bacterial small subunit ribosomal RNA
Source: RNAcentral